UUACGGCCAUAACACGUUGAACCACCGAUUCUCGUGCGAUUACCGAAGUUAAGCAGUAUCGAGCCUGGCCAGUACCUAGACAGGUGACCUCUUGGGGAUACCAGGUGCUGUAAG
Molecule: non-coding RNA, 114 nt
Organism: Acanthosepion pharaonis
Lineage: Eukaryota; Metazoa; Mollusca; Cephalopoda; Sepiida; Sepiidae
Source: the annotation of a GenBank genome assembly